RNAcentral lists this ribosomal RNA (253 nucleotides) under uncultured bacterium. Its description in RNAcentral is "partial 16S ribosomal RNA". It matches the Rfam family "Bacterial small subunit ribosomal RNA", at positions 524 to 776 of the family's 1533-position model. The record is from RNAcentral.
UACGUAGGGUGCAAGCGUUGUCCGGAAUUAUUGGGCGUAAAGAGCUCGUGGGCGGUCUGUUGCGUCGGCUGUGAAAACCCGGGGCUCAACUCCGGGCCUGCAGCCGAUACGGGCAGACUAGAGUUCGGCAGGGGAGACUGGAAUUCCUGGUGUAGCGGUGAAAUGCGCAGAUAUCAGGAGGAACACCGGUGGCGAAGGCAGGUCUCUGGGCCGAUACUGACGCUGAGGAGCGAAAGCGUGGGGAGCGAACAGG